UUCUUUGUCUAUCAUCACCCGACACCGACGCUACUUCGUUACAACUGCUUAGCUUAGUUUAGCUUCCGUCGCGGCUAAUGUAAAUCUCCUUUAUCUGGUUUCACCCUAACUUCACUCCUCCGCCUUACCUUUUUGUUUUUCCCCUUCUCUCUCCGUUUCUUCAGAUUUCUUAGUUAAGUAAGAUGGAACAUGUUACACAUCUCUCUAUCCUUAACUAUGGUACAUGUGUCCGUGGCAAAGUGGGAAAGGGUGAGUGGGUGGAAAGAGUUUGAAGAUGCCGACUUAUUUUCCCAUUCUAGAAUGAGCAGAAACGCGUAUGAAUGCAGACGUAUUUUUGAUUGAUUCCAUUUGUGAUCGUGGUAUCUAUGCAUUCUCAUAUUGAUGGCAUCCUGUUGAUGUCAACAGCAUGCCACAUCAUGCUAUUGCAGCUAAAUAUCAUUUUGGAAAAUCUCUUGCAUUUAUGGUGAAAGAAAAUGUCGUUGUACCUUACUGUCGAACAUGACUAGCUGAAGAGUUGCCUUGCUAUAAGACAUGGUUGAAGCGAAAACUUUUGUAUGCACGAAGAAGGGUCUUUUAUAUGGCAUAAUUUGAAACAGGUGUGAAAUACUGGCCUAUGAUACGCAAUUUGAUUGGUGUAUGACUAACUGCUUUUGGUUCAAGUUAAUGAAUAAUUUUAGAAGAUGGGAGUCUUCAGUCCCCACCUCAUGAGAAUUUCGGUAGGUUGAAGGUAGCAUUCGAAGUUGGUUUCGUAUGAGAAUGACAACAUGGUAAUGGUAGCUUCAUGUGUUUACUUCUUGUACUGCCUGCCUUUAGUUUUAAUAUUUCAAGAGCGACAUGCUAGAGAUUAAUAUACAGGUGAGGUCGGUGAGACAAUCUGGCAUGGAAUAUUCUUAUAUGAGUUUUGAUAAUAGAU
Long non-coding RNA from Hibiscus syriacus, 913 nucleotides. RefSeq lists it as uncharacterized. Lineage: Eukaryota; Viridiplantae; Streptophyta; Magnoliopsida; Malvales; Malvaceae. The transcript has 4 exons. The record is from RefSeq and is a predicted model, not a curated record.